RNAcentral lists this unclassified non-coding RNA (345 nucleotides) under Hevea brasiliensis (rubber tree). Lineage: Eukaryota; Viridiplantae; Streptophyta; Magnoliopsida; Malpighiales; Euphorbiaceae. The record is from RNAcentral.
AAAGGACUGGUCAGAAGGAAACUUUUAUGUAGAAGAUUCCUUCAGCACCAUCAACUGGAAGCAACAUGAACUGUCAUGUUGUAACAUGUGCGCAACAGAGGACAUUUUAUGAACUUCCUCUUUGGUCUUUUGUAGACACUUAGUUUAAUCAAAUUAUUCAUGUUAUAUAUACAAGUCCAUUUUUAAAAUGAGAUCUGGUAUCACUUAUACAAAUUUUCUCUUCUUUUGUCCUCAUUUUCUAAUCUUAAAUCUUUCUUUAGUUAAUUAGGUCGGAUUUGUAAACUAUGACAAUGGUACAACGUUUUUGUACUGUUGCAACCAGAAAUCGCUUUUUUUUUUUUUUUU